UUAAGUUCAGCGGGUAGUCCUACCUGAUUUGAGGUCAGAGUCAAAAAUUGCCCGAGGGCGAUUGUAAGCAGUCAUCACAACCUUCACCGACGAAACUUAUUACGCCGACUACGGUGCUAUCCCGCUAAGUCUUUUAAGGUGAGCCGGCAGAAGCGGCAACACCCAAGUCCAAUUCUCCGUCGGAAGCCCGAGGGAUUGAG
RNAcentral lists this unclassified non-coding RNA (200 nucleotides) under Saitozyma sp. RNAcentral's name for it is "partial internal transcribed spacer 2". The record is from RNAcentral. Lineage: Eukaryota; Fungi; Basidiomycota; Tremellomycetes; Tremellales; Trimorphomycetaceae.